ACCGGAUUAGAUACCCUGGUAGUCCACGCCGUAAACGAUGUCGACUUGGAGGUUGUGCCCUUGAGGCGUGGCUUCCGGAGCUAACGCGUUAAGUCGACCGCCUGGGGAGUACGGCCGCAAGGUUAAAACUCAAAUGAAUUGACGGGGGCCCGCACAAGCGGUGGAGCAUGUGGUUUAAUUCGAUGCAACGCGAAGAACCUUACCUACUCUUGACAUCCAGAGAACUUAGCAGAGAUGCUUUGGUGCCUUCGGGAACUCUGAGACAGGUGCUGCAUGGCUGUCGUCAGCUCGUGUUGUGAAAUGUUGGGUUAAGUCCCGCAACGAGCGCAACCCUUAUCCUUUGUUGCCAGCGGUUAGGCCGGGAACUCAAAGGAGACUGCCAGUGAUAAACUGGAGGAAGGUGGGGAUGACGUCAAGUCAUCAUGGCCCUUACGAGUAGGGCUACACACGUGCUACAAUGGCGCAUACAAAGAGAAGCGACCUCGCGAGAGCAAGCGGACCUCAUAAAGUGCGUCGUAGUCCGGAUUGGAGUCUGCAACUCGACUCCAUGAAGUCGGAAUCGCUAGUAAUCGUGGAUCAGAAUGCCACGGUGAAUACGUUCCCGGGCCUUGUACACACCGCCCGUCACACCAUGGGAGUGGGUUGCAAAAGAAGUAGGUAGCUUAACCUUCGGGAGGGCGCUUACCACUUUGUGAUUCAUGACUGGGGUGAAGUCGUAACAAGGUAAC
Molecule: ribosomal RNA, 728 nt
Filed under: uncultured bacterium
Lineage: Bacteria
Description: bacterial SSU rRNA
Rfam family: Bacterial small subunit ribosomal RNA
Source: RNAcentral